Molecule: ribosomal RNA, 506 nt
Filed under: uncultured bacterium
Lineage: Bacteria
Description: partial 16S ribosomal RNA
Rfam family: Bacterial small subunit ribosomal RNA
Source: RNAcentral
GAUGAACGCUAGCGGCAGGCCUAACACAUGCAAGUCGAGGGGCAGCACAUAAAGUGGUUUACUACUUUUGGUGGCGACCGGCGGACGGGUGCGUAACGCGUAUGCAACCUGCCUCCAACAGGGGGAUAACGGAGAGAAAUUUCCACUAAUACCCCAUAAUAUCAGAAUCGGCAUCGGUUUUGGUUGAAAACUCCGUAGGUUGGAGAUGGGCAUGCGUUGUAUGAGAUAGAUGGUGAGGUAACGGCUCACCAAGUCAACGAUACAUAGGGGGACUGAGAGGUUAGCCCCCCACACUGGUACUGAGACACGGACCAGACUCCUACGGGAGGCAGCAGUGAGGAAUAUUGGUCAAUGGGGGCAACCCUGAACCAGCCAUGCCGCGUGCAGGAAGACGGCUCUAUGAGUUGUAAACUGCUUUUACAAGGGGAUAAAUCGGUGUACGUGUACACCGUUGAAGGUACCUUGGGAAUAAGGAUCGGCUAUCUCCGUGCCAGCCGCCGCAGUAA